Molecule: ribosomal RNA, 465 nt
Filed under: uncultured bacterium
Lineage: Bacteria
Description: bacterial SSU rRNA
Rfam family: Bacterial small subunit ribosomal RNA
Source: RNAcentral
CCUACGGGUGGCACCAGUGGGGAAUAUUGCACAAUGGGCGCAAGCCUGAUGCAGCCAUGCCGCGUGUAUGAAGAAGGGCUUCGGGUUGUAAAGUACUUUCAGCGGGGAGGAAGGUGUUGUGGUUAAUAACCGCAGCAAUUGACGUUGCCCGCAGAAGAGGCACCGGCUAACUCCGUGCCAGCAGCCGCGGUAAUACGGAGGGUGCAAGCGUUAAUCGGAAUUACUGGGCGUAAAGCGCACGCAGGCGGUCUGUCGAGUCGGAUGUGAAAUCCCCGGGCUCAACCUGGGAACUGCAUUCGAAACUGGCAGGCUAGAGUCUUGUAGAGGGGGGUAGAAUUCCAGGUGUAGCGGUGAAAUGCGUAGAGAUCUGGAGGAAUACCGGUGGCGAAGGCGGCCCCCUGGACAAAGACUGACGCUCAGGUGCCAAAGCGUGGGGAGCAAACAGGAUUAGAUACCCCUGUAGUC